RNAcentral lists this ribosomal RNA (485 nucleotides) under uncultured bacterium. RNAcentral's name for it is "partial 16S ribosomal RNA". It matches the Rfam family "Bacterial small subunit ribosomal RNA", at positions 355 to 852 of the family's 1533-position model. The record is from RNAcentral.
UGGGGAAUAUUGCACAAUGGGCGAAAGCCUGAUGCAGCGACGCCGCGUGAGGGAUGACGGCCUUCGGGUUGUAAACCUCUUUCAGCAGGGAAGAAGCGAAAGUGACGGUACCUGCAGAAGAAGCGCCGGCUAACUACGUGCCAGCAGCCGCGGUAAUACGUAGGGCGCAAGCGUUGUCCGGAAUUAUUGGGCGUAAAGAGCUCGUAGGCGGUUAGUCGCGUCUGCUGUGAAAACUCGAGGCUCAACCUCGGGCUUGCAGUGGGUACGGGCUGACUAGAGUGCGGUAGGGGUGACUGGAAUUCCUGGUGUAGCGGUGGAAUGCGCAGAUAUCAGGAGGAACACCGAUGGCGAAGGCAGGUCACUGGGCCGCAACUGACGCUGAGGAGCGAAAGCAUGGGGAGCGAACAGGAUUAGAUACCCUGGUAGUCCAUGCCGUAAACGUUGGCGCUAGGUGUGGGUCCAUUCCACGGAUUCCGUGCCGCAGC